CAGUCGCCACGGUAAUACGGAGGGGGCUAGCGUUGUUCGGAAUUACUUGGCGUAAAGCGUACGUAGGCGGCUUUGUAAGUUAGAGGUGAAAGCCUGGAGCUCAACUCCAGAAUUGCCUUUAAGACUGCAUCGCUUGAACGUCGGAGAGGUGAGUGGAAUUCCGAGUGUAGAGGUGAAAUUCGUAGAUAUUCGGAAGAACACCAGUGGCGAAGGCGGCUCACUGGACGACUGUUGACGCUGAGGUACGAAAGCGUGGGGAGCAAACAGGAUUAGAGACCCCCGUAGUCCCUGUCUCUUAUAC
RNAcentral lists this ribosomal RNA (301 nucleotides) under uncultured bacterium. Its description in RNAcentral is "partial 16S ribosomal RNA". It matches the Rfam family "Bacterial small subunit ribosomal RNA", at positions 509 to 807 of the family's 1533-position model. The record is from RNAcentral.